Molecule: ribosomal RNA, 429 nt
Filed under: Bacteroidota bacterium
Lineage: Bacteria; Pseudomonadati; Bacteroidota
Description: Bacteroidetes bacterium partial 16S ribosomal RNA
Rfam family: Bacterial small subunit ribosomal RNA
Source: RNAcentral
UAGGGAAUCUUCCGCAAUGGACGCAAGUCUGACGGAGCAACGCCGCGUGAGUGAAGAAGGAUUUCGGUUCGUAAAACUCUGUUGUUAGAGAAGAACAGCGCAUAGAGUAACUGUUAUGCGUGUGACGGUAUCUAACCAGAAAGCCACGGCUAACUACGUGCCAGCAGCCGCGGUAAUACGUAGGUGGCAAGCGUUGUCCGGAUUUAUUGGGCGUAAAGCGAGCGCAGGCGGUCACUUAAGUCUGAUGUGAAAGCCCCCGGCUCAACCGGGGAGGGUCAUUGGCAACUGGUUGACUUGAGUGCAGAAGAUGAGAGGGGAAUUCCAGGUGUGGCGGUGAAAUGCGUAGAUAUAUGGAGGAACACCAGUGGCGAAGGCGACUCUCUGGUCUGUAACUGACGCAGAGGUUCGAAAGCGUGGGUAGCAAACAGG